AGAAAUUCAGCAUGAAUCUUUAUGGGAUUCAUGAAUCAUGCUUUGGAGAAUUGAAUAAUCAAUUACUAUAAAGCAUCUUCCCUAAAUUUGAUUUGGGUCCCUAUAAUAUAGUAUACUAAAAUUAAUGCAGCAUGCUGCUAAUGUCUAAGUGAGACUAAUUCAAAUGAAGCAAUUGGAUUUAUUAUUUAAUUAUGUCAAUUGCAUCAUGUAUAUCAUAUAUAUAAUAAGGUGGUAUGUCCCAUUUGAUUUAUAUCCUUUGCUUAGCUUCUGAGUCAUAAAAUUAACC
RNAcentral lists this long non-coding RNA (286 nucleotides) under Arachis ipaensis. RNAcentral describes it as "long non-coding RNA (AIPA_LNC001251)". The record is from RNAcentral. Lineage: Eukaryota; Viridiplantae; Streptophyta; Magnoliopsida; Fabales; Fabaceae.